RNAcentral lists this ribosomal RNA (480 nucleotides) under uncultured Planctomycetota bacterium. Its description in RNAcentral is "bacterial SSU rRNA". It matches the Rfam family "Bacterial small subunit ribosomal RNA", at positions 114 to 596 of the family's 1533-position model. Lineage: Bacteria; Pseudomonadati; Planctomycetota. The record is from RNAcentral.
UACAUAGGUAACCUACGCCUCGGACUGGGAUAAUUCCUGGAAACGGGUUGUAAUACCAGAUGGUCUGGUUGGUCUGCAUGGGCUGAUCARUAAAUGGUACCAUUGGUUCUGCCGAGGAAGGGGCCUAUGUCCCAUUAGCUAGUUGGUAGGGUAACGGCCUACCAAGGCUAUGACGGGUACCCGGUCUGAGAGGAUGGUCGGGCACACUGGGACUGAGACACUGCCCCGACUCCUACGGGAGGCUGCAGUCGAGGAUCUUCCGCAAUGGGCGAAAGCCUGACGGAGCGACACCGCGUGCAGGKUGAAGGCCUUCGGGUUGUAAACUGCUGUCACGCUAUAGGAACCCCGCAAGGGUUGACUAAAGCGAGAGGAAGCAACGGCUAACUCUGUGCCAGCAGCCGCGGUAAGACAGAGGUUGCAAACGUUGUUCGGAAUCACUGGGCAUAAAGCGCACCUACGCGGCUGACUAAGUCAGAUGUG